UGGCGAACGGGUGAGUAACACGUGGGCAAUCUGCCCUGCACUCUGGGAUAAGCCUGGGAAACUGGGUCUAAUACUGGAUAGGACCUUUCUCCUCAUGGGGUUUGGUGGAAAGUUUUUCGGUGCAGGAUGAGCCCGCGGCCUAUCAGCUUGUUGGUGGGGUAAUGGCCUACCAAGGCGACGACGGGUAGCCGGCCUGAGAGGGUGAUCGGCCACAUUGGGACUGAGAUACGGCCCAGACUCCUACGGGAGGCAGCAGUC
This 258-nucleotide ribosomal RNA is filed under the name uncultured Segniliparus sp. Its description in RNAcentral is "partial 16S ribosomal RNA". It matches the Rfam family "Bacterial small subunit ribosomal RNA", at positions 96 to 355 of the family's 1533-position model. Lineage: Bacteria; Bacillati; Actinomycetota; Actinomycetes; Mycobacteriales; Segniliparaceae. The record is from RNAcentral.